GGAGGUCAUUGCUAUUGGAGUUCGAUUUAGCCAUGCUAGUUGUACGAGCUUAGACUCGUAGCGGAAAGCUCAGUAACACGUGAUCAAACUACCCUAUAGAUCAGAAUACUCUCGGGAAACUGAGGCUAAUACUGAAUAACGCUCCUUUGCUGGAAUUGCAAGGAGCCGGAAACGCUCCGGCGCUAUAGGAUGUGAUUGCGGCCGAUUAGGUAGACGGUGGGGUAACGACCCACCGUGCCGAUAAUCGGUACGGGUUGUGAGAGCAAGAGCCCGGAGAUGGAUUCUGAGACAAGAAUCCAGGCCCUACGGGGCGCAGCAGGCGCGAAAACUUUACACUGCACGACAGUGCGAUAAGGGAACUCCAAGUGCGAGGGCAUAACGUCCUCGCUUUUGUGUAUCGUAAGGUGGUACACGAAUAAGAGCUGGGCAAGACCGGUGCCAGCCGCCGCGGUAAUACCGGCAGCUCAAGUGAUGACCAAUUUUAUUGGGCCUAAAGCGUCCGUAGCCGGCCAGACAGGUCCGUCGGGAAAUCUGCUCGCUCAACGAGCAGGCGUCCGACGGAAACCCGCUGGCUUGGGACCAGAAGACUCGAGGGGUACGUCUGGGGUAGGAGUGAAAUCCUGUAAUCCUAGACGGACCACCGAUCGCGAAAGCACCUCGAGAGGAUGGAUCCGACGGUGAGGGACGAAAGCUAGGGUCACGAACCGGAUUAGAUACCCGGGUAGUCCUAGCUGUAAACGAUGCUCGCUAGGUGUGGCACAGGCUACGAGCCUGUGCUAUGCCGUAGGGAAGCCGAGAAGCGAGCCGCCUGGGAAGUACGU
This 821-nucleotide ribosomal RNA is filed under the name Haladaptatus paucihalophilus. Its description in RNAcentral is "bacterial SSU rRNA". It matches the Rfam family "Archaeal small subunit ribosomal RNA", at positions 19 to 840 of the family's 1478-position model. Lineage: Archaea; Methanobacteriati; Methanobacteriota; Halobacteria; Halobacteriales; Haladaptataceae. The record is from RNAcentral.